Molecule: ribosomal RNA, 210 nt
Filed under: Triticum aestivum (bread wheat)
Lineage: Eukaryota; Viridiplantae; Streptophyta; Magnoliopsida; Poales; Poaceae
Description: partial small subunit ribosomal RNA
Source: RNAcentral
AUGAUGUGGACUCUUUGGACUACUCGCAGCAAGAUGAUGAUUGAGCGGGUGUUCCCAUGUCGUGCUUCUGACUCGUUCUUCAAAUUUCUUGCCUUCUUGCAGUACUGGCAUCCGCUCACUAGGCCGAGGGAUCGUGACCGUCUUCACCUCUUGCUGGACGCCCUGGUGUCUACCGCGCGUCGGCUCUCCGACCGACCGCCUGCUUUGUAG